UACGGAGGAUGCAAGCGUUAUCCGGAAUGAUUGGGCGUAAAGCGUCCGCAGGUGGCUGUGUAAGUCUGCUGUUAAAUAGUGAGGCUCAACCUCAUAAAGGCAGUGGAAACUACACGGCUAGAGUGCGUUCGGGGCAGAGGGAAUUCCUGGUGUAGCGGUGAAGUGCGUAGAGAUCAGGAAGAACACCGGUGGCGAAAGCGCUCUGCUAGGCCGCAACUGACACUGAGGGACGAAAGCUAGGGGAGCGAAAGGG
Molecule: ribosomal RNA, 253 nt
Filed under: uncultured bacterium
Lineage: Bacteria
Description: partial 16S ribosomal RNA
Rfam family: Bacterial small subunit ribosomal RNA
Source: RNAcentral